This is a long non-coding RNA of Hibiscus syriacus, 802 nucleotides long. RefSeq lists it as uncharacterized. The record is from RefSeq and is a predicted model, not a curated record. NCBI's taxonomy places the organism in Eukaryota, Viridiplantae, Streptophyta, Magnoliopsida, Malvales, Malvaceae. The transcript has 6 exons.
GGACAAAGCAUUCGAGGAUUUUGAAGACCUAGGAGAUGAUGAGGAACUUGGAACUGCUGAUUGGCCUACAGUAAAGAGAUACAUCACAAGCUUAAAUGAUUUGGAGGGGGACCUGUGCAUCCUCAUUAUGAAGCUGAAGCUGAUAAUAACCUGGACCCUUCAAACUUGAAAUAUAUCAGAGUACGGCUUUUAAAUGGUGUCCAGUCAGCAUACUGGGGAAUGCUUGAUGAAGGGAGAAUUUCACUAAGUACAGCAAAUAUUCUGAUGCAAUCUGUAGAUGAACCUAUUGAUGUGGCAUCUCAUGAACCUUUAUGUGAUUGGAAGGGCUUAAAAUCUUAUGUUCAUUUCCCAAAUUAUUACAAGUUUCUUCAGACAAGUAUGUUCCCACAAAAACUGAUCACGUAUUUCACUGUGGAAAGGCUGGAAAAUGGGUGCUGUGUUUGUGCUGCAUUUCUUUGAGCUCAUAGAAUUGCACAACGGCAACUUCAUGAGUUUAUAGUUGACAGUGUUGUUGCUUCUACUGUAAUCUCUGAAAGUGAGGCUGAAGGAGAAGAGGCCAGGAAGUUUUUGGAAUAUGUCCGUACAACUUUUCCACAGGUUUUGCGUGUUGUUAAAACAAGACAAGUGACCUACUCGGUAUUGAACCAUGUGAUGGAUUAUUUACAAAACCUCGAGAAGGUUGGUUUACUGGAAGAAAAGGAAAUGCUUCAUCUUCAUGAUGCUGUCCAGACUGACUUGAAGAAGCUUUUAAGGAAUCCUCCCUUAGUAAAGAUUCAGAAAAUAAAUUAUCUUAUAAGUGCAC